RNAcentral lists this ribosomal RNA (443 nucleotides) under uncultured bacterium. RNAcentral describes it as "SSU rRNA". It matches the Rfam family "Bacterial small subunit ribosomal RNA", at positions 26 to 518 of the family's 1533-position model. The record is from RNAcentral.
AGAGCGAACGCUGGCGGCAGGCCUAACACAUGCAAGUCGAGCGCCCCGCAAGGGGAGCGGCAGACGGGAGAGUAACACGUGGGAACGUGCCCUUUGGUUCGGAACAACACAGGGAAACUUGUGCUAAUACCGGAUAAGUCCGUAAGGAGAAAGAUUUAUCGCCAAAGGAUCGGCCCGCGUCUGAUUAGCUAGUUGGUGAGGUAACGGCUCACCAAGGCGACGAUCAGUAGCUGGUCUGAGAGGAUGAUCAGCCUCACUGGGACUGAGACACGGCCCAGACUCCUACGGGAGGCAGCAGUGGGGAAUAUUGGACAAUGGGCGCAAGCCUGAUCCAGCCAUGCCGCGUGGAUGAUGAAGGCCCUAGGGUUGUAAAGUCCUUUCGACGGGGAAGAUAAUGACGGUACCGUAGAAGAAGCCCCGGCUAACUUCGUGCCAGCAGCCGC